Molecule: ribosomal RNA, 508 nt
Filed under: uncultured bacterium
Lineage: Bacteria
Description: bacterial SSU rRNA
Rfam family: Bacterial small subunit ribosomal RNA
Source: RNAcentral
GAUCCUGGCUCAGGAUGAACGCUAGCGGCAGGCUUAACACAUGCAAGUCGAGGGGCAUCGGGAGUAGCAAUACUUGCCGGCGACCGGCGCAAGGGUGCGUAACGCGUGAGCAACAUGCCCGUAUCAGGGGGAUAAUCCAUGGAAACGUGGUCUAAUACCCCAUAGUAAUUAUGUAAGGCAUCUUAUAUAAUUUAAAGCUUUGGUGGAUACGGAUUGGCUCGCGUGACAUUAGCUGGAUGGUAAGGUAACGGCUUACCAUGGCUACGAUGUCUAGGGGUUCUGAGAGGAAGGUCCCCCACACUGGAACUGAGACACGGUCCAGACUCCUACGGGAGGCAGCAGUGAGGAAUAUUGGACAAUGGAUGGAAAUCUGAUCCAGCCAUGCCGCGUGCAGGAAGACGGCCCUAUGGGUUGUAAACUGCUUUUGUAUGGGAGCAAUAAGGGCUACGUGUAGUCCGAUGAGAGUACCAUACGAAUAAGCACCGGCUAACUCCGUGCCAGCCGCAGC